CAUACUUUAGCAAUCAAUCUCAAUCUGCGAUAUAAUAGUAGUAAUGCUUUCUUUGCUUUCCAUAAUUCAUAAUACUAUAAUACUCUCUUGUCUGUUCUGUCCUUUUCAUUCUUAUGAAGCCAAUGAAAUUAAAUCCCUCAUUUUUAAAGAAAUUAACUCUCGAGAUUUCCAUACACACCCCAUCAUUCUUUUAUCUGAUCAAAACUAUCUACCUAUAUGUGCCUCUUUUACCUUUUACUAUUCUUUUAUUUGUUUUUUCCGUUCCUCUUUCAUUAUUUUCUCUGGGUUCUCAAUUCUGUUCAUGAUAAAUAAAAACAGGAAUGAAUCAACUCAGUUUCUUAUUAUAUGAAUCAACGCGGAGAGAAAGGAAAGUAAACAAUUCUUAGAUUGUUGAGACAGCAAAUGAACAGUGUAGAUGGGAGGAUAAGAAUGACGAAGAUGGGUCUACAGGAGCCAUUAGCUUCAGUGAUGAUGAGGAAUAACCACCGAAAGGCUCCAUUGCACUCUGUUUUGUUCUCUUCAACGACACAAAGAAUAAUUAAUUUAAAUACUAGUAUAAUCUAAUUUUUUAUUAUUUUUCAUUGACCACGUGUGCCACACAGAGUGAAAAAAAAGAUAGGAAUUGCGCUUUUUGUACAUUUUUUAACCAAAGGCCACGACGGAUUUGAAAAAAAAGAUGACAUAUGAGCAUUUUGUGUUUAGGAUGCACGUUUAAAGGGUAUGUGAGCGUUCUUCCUUUUCUUUUUUGAUUUUGAUUUUUUUGAUUUCUUUUUUUCCUUAAAAGGAAGGUAUAUCCCAUUAAGAGAUUGUUCAGUGAUUUUUUUUAUCUUUGAUUGAAAUAUUUCCUUGAUUUUUCAUUUUUAUUAUAGUUACAGUAAGGAUGAAUUGUUGAUUAGCGGAAAUCAUAUUAUGCAGGAUUGGGAUUGUGUUGAACUUGAGAUGGGCUAUUGAAGUAGAUAAACCAGCGGCAUAAAGCCCUGGUCCGCGGAAUGCAUAAUGCCUGACAUACUUAGGUUCAGAGAAUUCC
RNAcentral lists this long non-coding RNA (1027 nucleotides) under Jatropha curcas. RNAcentral describes it as "long non-coding RNA (JCUR_LNC000187)". The record is from RNAcentral. Lineage: Eukaryota; Viridiplantae; Streptophyta; Magnoliopsida; Malpighiales; Euphorbiaceae.